Molecule: ribosomal RNA, 244 nt
Filed under: uncultured Actinomycetales bacterium
Lineage: Bacteria; Bacillati; Actinomycetota; Actinomycetes; Actinomycetales
Description: partial 16S ribosomal RNA
Rfam family: Bacterial small subunit ribosomal RNA
Source: RNAcentral
GCUCGAGUGGCGAACGGGUGAGUAACACGUGAGUAACCUGCCCUUGACUUUUGGAUAACUUCAGGAAACUGGGGCUAAUACCGGAUAGGAGCUCCUGCUGCAUGGUGGGGGUUGGAAAGUUUCGGCGGUUGGGGAUGGACUCGCGGCUUAUCAGCUUGUUGGUGGGGUAGUGGCUUACCAAGGCUUUGACGGGUAGCCGGCCUGAGAGGGUGGACGGCCACAUUGGGACUGAGAUACGGCCCAG